Long non-coding RNA from Gasterosteus aculeatus aculeatus (three-spined stickleback), 5093 nucleotides. NCBI's taxonomy places the organism in Eukaryota, Metazoa, Chordata, Actinopteri, Perciformes, Gasterosteidae. The record is from Ensembl.
UCAGCAUCCGCUUUUUCUUGUGUACAUGCUAUAGUGGUUUGAUUUGAUAUAACACACCCUUUAGAGCGGCGGUCUCCAGCCCGGUUCACGACCCUCCAAGGGGUCACUAGAUAACUCUAGUAUGGAAAGGCACAGCACCUUUGCUACGGUUUGCUUUUCUUCAUGUUGUUGAUCCGCCGGCGUGUGGUGCGGACUUACCUGAACUGUCACUGGUCUUGACCUGGACGAUGUAAGUGGUGAGCUCCACCAUCAGCUCCUCGUCCACCACAGCAGCCAUCUCGCACAUGGUGGUCCUCUUCGGUCCACGGGUCCUGGAGAGCCACUCCUCAUAGGUGAACACGGACACCUCCUCUGUGGCCAGGUUACGCAGGACCACCUGCAAGCACAGAGUUAGCUGACAAAAAGUAUGAAUGCUCACUUAAUCAUGCUUACAAUAAAAACAAAGCUAACAUUUUGAUUUUAAAGGUAGAAUGUUUUCCACUUUGGAUCAACGUGUUGGUAAGAGAACAUUUAUUAAUUAGUGCACCUCAGGCUGAUGGAAACGUCCAAAAAUCAUGGACAAGUUAAAAAUGUUGACCUGAUGAUGGCGCUAGAAGGACAAUUAACCUUUUCAGCUUGAAUGUCUGCACCAAACGUUACGGUACUCCAUUCAAAUAGUUGAGAUAUCUCAGUCAGAUCCGAAGAGAUGGACCGACAUCCCAGCGUGGAUUAAAGAAGAGUUGAUAUGAAUGAAUAAAUGAUCACAUCAUGGACACACACCCUGCCUCCCCCAGGAUGUCUGAUGUCUGAUCACCGGUCCUGGGAAUCGUUUCAUUACAAGAUAAAGACUCAGCUCAGGCAGCCGCACUCGUAAUAACUCUCCACUCUGCAUAUUUAUUUGUGCAGAUUACUCUGCUGGCAGCCUGCCCGGUGCACUGUCGUGUCCUUUUCAAUACAUGCACCCGGCGAUCCAUGAAGGCAGCACAUCUGCUUGUGAUGCCGAACACACAGGGCUCUGUGCAGGGUCAAGUCAAGGAGAUGUUUCGCAGUCGCCGAGUCCCAGGCACGAGCGGACAGGGCCCGCUAUUGUUCCUGACUGCUGGGCUGCUCUGCAGGCAGUGGUGACUUCACCAGGGGAGACAUUUGCAUAGGAAAUGUGUUCUGUUUCCUCCAAACAUUUGGCCACAGACGUCAGACAGAAUUUGGAGGUGAGCGGCGGCAGUUGCACUUCCAAAGUCAUCGAAGGAGAAAAUAACUAGGUGUAUUAAUGGAGUUGAUUAUGUUGCUGGAAUAUUCAUUAAAAUUAGGGAUAUUUGCACAACCGCACACCAUUUCACUCUUAAGGAAAUUCAAAAUCUCUGAGUACUGACUACACCAACACGCUGUGCUCAUUGCUGCGUGUGCACGAGGGUGAUGGUGCCAGAACAAAGAGCGUGAUUUCUUGCAUCUAAACACGUUUAUCCUGGUGCCUACUUUACCCACAAUGCAACUGAACCACUGACUGAUUGUUGACUAGAGCUGCCUCAGGCAGAGAUGAGGAGGAGGCCACAGAGGUCAGGUGAUCUGACCUGAUCCAGGAACCAGUCGGGUCGACUGCCGGAGCCAUCGAUGCGAAGCCUCAUUUUCCUCAGUGGAGCGACGUCAUCGAUCUCCAUGUUGAAAGUGUCCUCCUGACCGCGCUCGAACCUGUUGUGGAACACAUAGAGGACACAGAGUUUAUGAGGUGCAGUGUAAGAAGACUGUUUCUCCACAAUGCUUUUUUUCCAUGAAGGGCUACCUGUCCUCAUUCUUCUGCAGCAGCAUCUCCUCCGUGCUGCCGUUGGCUCCGAAUACAGACAUGAAGAUCAGGGUGUCUGUUCCUGCGUCCUGCACGUCCCCCGUUACUACGGUAACCUCGUAAAUAAUCUGAUGGGAAUAUAUUAGACGUUAAGUUAAAUCAAAUAACAUUAUAUUUAUAGUUAUAUUUCUAAGUAACAUAAAUAGAUAUGAAGACAAAGGACAACCAUUUAAUGGAAUAAAUGAACCUCAAAUAUGUCAAUUUUGAUGCAUAUUCUUAGCUGAACAACUUAAUCAUUACACACCACAUUACGGAUAUCUAAAUACCUGCUGGGAGAUGGAAAUGGCCUCUGCAUCCAGCACGCUGAACACUCGAGCAGUCAGACCAUCUCCUCGAUCUUUGGCCAGCCAGCACUUGCAAGCAAAGAUAUAUUUGACCCCUUUGGUUGGCACAGCAACAGACAGCUCAUCAACCAGCCAGCAGCUCUCAGGAGUGGCCCCGUCAUGACCUAGCUGCAGGCACCACGGGCAACAAUCACUACCAGAAACGUGGGUGGGUUUUUUCUCUUUUUUUUUUCCAAUGUGCGAGUGUGUGCGGAUGCUUGAAAGCGGACGAUCAUCCCGCCCCCUCACCUCGACUUUUUUGAUCUCCCCCACGUCUGAGCCGUGGCACUGAAAGCUCUCCAGGGAGCCGGCCUCAAAGCCCUUCCUCUCGCCCGGCAGGUCCAGCCACAACCUCUGUGUCUGGGUGUGAUUGGCCCCGAUGAUGAUCACAUAAGCCCUGCUGGUGGUGCUCGCGUCCCGCUCCAGUCCGGUGCAGAUGGUGAUGUGGUAUGGAAUGACUGCAGAGGAAGGCAACGGCACUUAUUAACUCACGGCGCGCCAGAGAUUAUGUAAAGAUGUCCCCGUUAGAACGGUGAUGACAAACAUUACAGUUUACAAUGCCGAAUCAUUUUCUUACUGGGAAGCUCAACUUCCUCCUCCUCCUCCUCCUCCUUCUUCUUCUUGCUCUUUUUGUUCAUGUUAUUGUCGACGCUCUUCACUGUCACAGCUGUGUUCUUCUUUUUACUGCUUUCUCUAACACCUUCGUAGCCCUGGAAUAACACAACACACACACACACACACACACAGUGAUGCAGGUACAUACAGCAACACAGAUUACUAAUACCUGUAUCACCUCCUACACAUAAUCGCAGUCGUCUUCAAUGCUACCUUGACAUAGAAGACUCUCUCAAUGCGUCGGUCCUCCCUCUUCCUGGACAGCCAACGCUCACAUAAGAAGAGAUACACCUCUUCUGUGUCCACGUCGAACACCUCCACCUGGUCCAAGUACCAGUCGGCACUCAUCAUGCUGUUGUCGUGGCGCAUUUUGAUCCUGAAAACCUGUCCGAGGUCAACGGCUUCUAUAGUGAACUUAUCCACCUAAAAGAUGAGCGUGAACAAGGAAAUAAUAACAGAGGCUUAAGCGCGUACUGGGUUCGAUGUAUUUGCUGUGGCACACAAAAGGCUUUCUUACAGAUCCCCGUUCAAACUUGUUGCUGUUUGUCUCCGACUUGCGGAGUUUCCUCUCCCCAGUGUCCCCCUGGUCCCCGUAAAUGGUGAGGAAGACGUUGGCGUCGGUGCCGGCUCCGUACACGUCGCCCGUCGUCACCGACACUGUGUAUGUGUGAGCUGCGUGGGGAAGGUGGGCAGGGGGGGGGGAGUCUUGUGUCAGAACUGUCUCUCAGAAAGGUGGGUGUCCACAACAGGCCCGACACAUGGCGCAGGUAUUCCUGCUGUGUUCUGCUGAAUGUGAUGACAUACUCUCCAGGGCAUCUUCCACCUCCACCUCGGUGACUUUCAGGUUCCCGUCUCGGGAGAGCUUCUCGGUGAUGAUGUCCGAGGGCACCAGCUCUCGCACGGUUUCUCCGUCGUCCUCCGACUUGGCGAGCCAACAUUCGCACGGGAAGAUGACGGUCUCCGAGCCCUACAGAGAGAGGAGGGCCGAUUCAUUUGUGUGUUCUUGCAAACAGUGGACGUGAUGUUCAGCUCUGAAAUCGCUGUGCUUGUUUAACCGCAUCUAUCUGUGCAGAGAACAUCACCACCUGCUGACCGAAAAUGGUGGUUGAGGGUCACCAGUGGAUGUGUUGGUUUUUUUUUUUUUGUUACCUUUCCCUUCCGGAGCAGACGUCUGAUCUCCACUCGGUCCAGGUGCCAGCCCGGGUUGACCCCCCGGUUGUCAUGGCCGAUCCGGAUCUUUUCAAUUACAUCCCCCACAUCUUCUAGCUGCGCAGAAAGCAGAAAUAAACGACCUGAAUGCAUUGAAUUCAGCCUGAAGUGAUGCCUUUGCUGUUCUCCAAUCUACUCAUUUAUUGCACCUCGACAAUAAACAUGUCUUCAGCUCCUCUCUCAAAGUACAUCCUCCUCUCCCUCUUGUUGACGCACAGAGACUUCUGCUGGGUGCACACUGCGUCCCUCCCGUAGAGGACAAUGAAGACGUCUGCGUCCGUGCCGGCGGCGAACACGUCGCUGGUGAAGGUCUUGAUUUCAUAUGGGACGACUACCAAAUUAAGACAAAUCAAAAACACAUUAUGUGCAUCAAAUAAGAAACACGUUUGUGUCAGUGUGACUGUCGUGCGGUGACCGUUUACAUGGCGUGUAAAGCUCCGUCUGGAGGGAAUUAGGGAAAAGGUCCCUGACGAUGGCCCCGUCGUCCUCCCCUUUGUCCAACCAGCGGCCGCAGGGGAAGUGCAGUUUCCGACCGAGAGACGGGGCGUCGAUCUCCACCCAGUCGAGGAACCAGCCUGCUGAUCCUCCACCUUGAAGACAGAACAUUGUGCUGGUGUGGACGCCCUUUUGCAUGGCGCGCUGCCCAGGCAGAGGGGGGGUGGACUCCUAUGUGGUCCUACCGUACCACAGUUGUCGUGUCCAACGCGCAGCUUCUUCAGCGGCCCGAUGUCCACAGCUUCCACGGUGAACUCAUCGACCAUGCCCCGCUCAAACUUGUUCUUAUGAGUCUUUGACGCCUCCAGCUUAAUUGUCCCUGCAGAUGCGCACGACAUAGAGUGGUGAUACUGAUAUAUUUUCUUUUUUUUACCCAUGCAGAGAUAUGUGAGAUCAGUAGGAUAGUUUAAAGUGUUACCUGUGUCGUCCUUGGUACCGUACAUUAUCAUAAAGACGUUAGCAUCAGUUCCUGCAUACUUUUUGUCGCCAGUUUUUAUCCUCAUCGUGUAAGUUGUCGACAUGGCUGUAAUGACAAGAAACAUGAAGAAAUUAAACAGUAGGCCAUCGUGUGAUUGUUAUUUCUGUUCAUUUUUUCCUUUGAAACUAAAUUAAAUGAAUGUCUUCUUGAGAGGUCG